ACACAUACCUGGCAGGAGAGCUACCAAGAUCAGGAAGGUGUUUUCCCAAGGGAAGCUCCUCAUGCUGACUCUCAUGAUUUCCCCAAGUGUAGGACACUGGACUGCAUAAUCUGUGUAGUGGGAGACAGUAUUUAUGCUCUCCCCUG
Molecule: small nuclear RNA, 146 nt
Organism: Aotus nancymaae (Ma's night monkey)
Lineage: Eukaryota; Metazoa; Chordata; Mammalia; Primates; Aotidae
Gene: U1
Rfam family: U1 spliceosomal RNA
About the family: U1 is a small nuclear RNA (snRNA) component of the spliceosome (involved in pre-mRNA splicing).
Source: Ensembl